This is a long non-coding RNA of Nymphalis io (European peacock), 556 nucleotides long. RefSeq lists it as uncharacterized. Lineage: Eukaryota; Metazoa; Arthropoda; Insecta; Lepidoptera; Nymphalidae. The transcript has 3 exons. The record is from RefSeq and is a predicted model, not a curated record.
UUUUUAAAUGGGUCAUUCUAUACUGUACCGUAUAACAAACAUUCGUAUUAUACAUUUUCAACCCCUCAAAACUUCAACCAUAUGUGGGAGCGUCUAACUUUCCAUCAGUGCCAGAUCAACGAGACCAAAAAACUUAUUAGUAAUAUUUAGAAUUAGCUGGUCCAGAACUAACAUCCCCGAGUUGAACAGUAUUGCUCAUAAUUUUCUUUUUCAAUUAUUAAAAAACUUUCACUAUGAUUUGUUAAAUAAACGAUUAUCAUGCGACCCUCGUAACCUGUUGAAGGUGAACCUGUAAUCAGCCUGUAAUCAACGGCGACCAUCACAUGUUUGCGGUCUUGAACCCGGGCUAAGACUUUUAAUGAGCCGAUUUUCUGCAGUGAAACCCACAGACAAUAGACGCACAAUUAUCGUGUUUGUCUUGCCUACAGGGACGUAUACAAUACAAGAGGCGUUAAUGACCAGCCGUACACCAUUUUUUUGCAGGAAUCCUGAGUAAUAAUAAAUAAAAAUCUGCUUAAAAUUCUAAUUUUCCAGUUGCCUGCAUAUAAUAUGUCUU